GAACGCCGGAUGCGCUGAAAGGUGCAUGUCCGGUGUGGACCGGGGGAAAAGAUGGAGAUAAUACCAAAGUCUUACCUAUCGGUAU
Molecule: non-coding RNA, 85 nt
Filed under: Faecalimonas umbilicata
Lineage: Bacteria; Bacillati; Bacillota; Clostridia; Lachnospirales; Lachnospiraceae
Source: RNAcentral